GAUGAAGAACGUAGCGAAAUGCGAUAAGUAAUGUGAAUUGCAGAAUUCAGUGAAUCAUCGAAUCUUUGAACGCACCUUGCACCCUUUGGUAUUCCGAAGGGUAUGCUCGUUUGAGUGUCAUUGUACUCUCACACUUCCGAUCGUUUGGAUCGGGAGCGGUGGACUUGGGUGUUGCUGCUUUACUGUGGCUCACCUUAAAUGCAUUAGUGCACCUUUCGGUUGGACAUAGUACGGCGUGAUAAGUGUCUUCGCCGGCACCUCACAGAGGGUGGCUGAUCGGGAGCUCUGUGCUUCAAACCGUCCUCGGACAACAGCCGACAACUUGACCUCAAAUCGAGUAGGACUACCCGCUGAACUUAAGCAUAUCAAUAAGCGGAGGA
Molecule: unclassified non-coding RNA, 380 nt
Filed under: soil metagenome
Description: partial contains 5.8S ribosomal RNA, internal transcribed spacer 2, and large subunit ribosomal RNA
Rfam family: 5.8S ribosomal RNA (bases 1-120)
Source: RNAcentral